AAAAAAAAAAUCUUCCGUAAACAACUAUAACUUAUAGAACUACGAGUAGUUUUUAUUUAUCCUCUUUCACUGCAUUCCAACUGCAAAAAGUAAUACGAAUCAAUUCUUUUAUAUUUUUCAGGUCUCAACUAAAUAUGCAUGCAUAAGAAAGUUCUUGAGUUUCAUGCAUAUGAACAAGCAAUAUGUAAACCCCUCUUAGAGCCUCACAAAUGAACAUAUGUAUGACUAUAAUUUCAGAUUUCAUUAAAAAAAUAAAGUUGAAAAAAGGUCUCUAAAAAAGAAGCACAACAAUAAUCUGGACUAAAAAUGUGCGUGUUCCUAGUGUCCUAAAAUAAAUCUUUGACAACUGAGAUGAAUAUCAUUCUUAUAUAUAAUCUCUUGAAAAAUAUGGAGACAAUAACUAUAUUAGAGAAACUAUGAAAAAUGUCAAUAAGGGGUAAUCUAAAAUUAGAGUAGCUCAUAGAGGAGAAAAGGAAAAAUAUCAUAAAGCAGAGUUGGAAUGUAAAUUACAUAGUUGUUGAGGUUCUUGAUCG
Molecule: unclassified non-coding RNA, 533 nt
Filed under: Hevea brasiliensis (rubber tree)
Lineage: Eukaryota; Viridiplantae; Streptophyta; Magnoliopsida; Malpighiales; Euphorbiaceae
Source: RNAcentral